RNAcentral lists this transfer RNA (73 nucleotides) under Ligilactobacillus ceti DSM 22408. RNAcentral describes it as "Lactobacillus ceti DSM 22408 tRNA". It matches the Rfam family "tRNA". From Rfam's summary of the family: Transfer RNA (tRNA) molecules are approximately 80 nucleotides in length. Their secondary structure includes four short double-helical elements and three loops (D, anti-codon, and T loops). The record is from Rfam by way of RNAcentral. Lineage: Bacteria; Bacillati; Bacillota; Bacilli; Lactobacillales; Lactobacillaceae.
GAGUUGUUAGCUCAGUUGGUAGAGCAACGGACUCUUAAUCCGUGGGUCCAAGGUUCAAACCCUUGACAACUCA